RNAcentral lists this transfer RNA (74 nucleotides) under Manihot esculenta (cassava). RNAcentral's name for it is "tRNA-Met (CAT) (tRNA-Met-CAT-2-1)". It matches the Rfam family "tRNA". Rfam says of the family: Transfer RNA (tRNA) molecules are approximately 80 nucleotides in length. Their secondary structure includes four short double-helical elements and three loops (D, anti-codon, and T loops). Lineage: Eukaryota; Viridiplantae; Streptophyta; Magnoliopsida; Malpighiales; Euphorbiaceae. The record is from RNAcentral. RNAcentral also lists the same sequence under 4 other names.
GGGGUGGUGGCGCAGUUGGCUAGCGCGUAGGUCUCAUAAUCCUGAGGUCGAGAGUUCAAGCCUCUCUCACCCCA